Molecule: long non-coding RNA, 561 nt
Organism: Mytilus californianus (California mussel)
Lineage: Eukaryota; Metazoa; Mollusca; Bivalvia; Mytilida; Mytilidae
Exons: 3
Source: RefSeq, a predicted model, not a curated record
CAACACAUAUGCGCAGAUUAAAGAAAACAUAUUUCUCGACAUAUUUAGGUGUACGUUUUUUGCGUACUGGCAGUGAAAUCUUAAAAUGAAUUUCGUUGUGAUGUUGUUGAACAUGCUUGUUUUCGUGAUCUUCAUUAUAAGCUGUAUUAACGGACUGGAUUAUGCGUCCUUUGACAAAACAGCCCAUGCCUACUGCGCAAGUCAUUCAUCUGGUCACGUGUUUGUAUUGAGGAGGGAUUGUGAGAAAACCACAAAGGACUGCAAAGCAAUUUGUACAGAAGCAAAAGAUGCAAUAAUUGGCACGAUUUACCAUAAGAAAGACACAGUGGUCUGCUUUGAUGCUUACAAAGUUUACACAGACCAAUACAAUUCCAGUGAUGUGAUGCAGACAACUGGUUUAGUGGGCUUCCAUACCUAUGGGUUUGGUCCAAGAGGAUGCACAGGAUCACCAAAUCACUGUGGACCUAACUACUGUUGUUGUGUGGCAUAUUAGAGGAAUUUUUGAAAUUUCUUCUGCAAUAAAUCCUUAAAUUUGUUAUACAAAUAAAACAAGCUAUACCA